This 123-nucleotide small RNA is filed under the name Marmota monax (woodchuck). The record is from RNAcentral. Lineage: Eukaryota; Metazoa; Chordata; Mammalia; Rodentia; Sciuridae.
GCUGGGCGCAGUGGUGCAUGCCUGUAAUCCUAUCAACUUGGGAGGCUAAGGCAGGAGGAUCGAGUUCAAAGCCAGCCUCAGCAAAAGCGAGGCGCUAAGCAACACAGUGAGACCCUGUCUCUA